Rhinopithecus roxellana (golden snub-nosed monkey) is the source of this 325-nucleotide long non-coding RNA. RefSeq lists it as uncharacterized. NCBI's taxonomy places the organism in Eukaryota, Metazoa, Chordata, Mammalia, Primates, Cercopithecidae. The transcript is spliced from 3 exons. The record is from RefSeq and is a predicted model, not a curated record.
UUGGAAACCCAAGGCAUACUUCUGGAGAUCACUGAGAAGCCAGUUGAGGACACUUACGGGAUCAGAGGGAGCUUGUUUGAAAAGGCACACAGAUCCCUCCGUCUAAAAAAGAGAAGACCUAUCCAUAAGAGUUUGGAUUUCCCAGGUUUAAGUUGCCUUCUGAGCUGGAACCAGCAGCAUCCUACGGAAUUAAAUGGAGAGGUAGGCUUCUGAGGCUAUCUAGUCUUUGAAGAAUGAGAUGACAUUCCCUCCACAAAUUACUACUCCCCACUCUGAAGAUGCUCACAAAGCCAUCAGUCUCAAGAACCAUAUUCAUCACCCUUUG